GUUUCAUUUAACACUAGUCAGUGCUUGCGGGUCCUCUAUCCGCUCAUCAGAGGAUGUGAAAAAAAAUGGACCACUCUAAAGAGUGACUCAAGGAGGAAAGCCACUAGCCUAAAGAAGGCUAUAUUCCAGACAGGCGGAGGGCCAUCACCAUCUCCACUGAGUGACUUUGAGUAUAAGGUAUAUUGCAUAAAUCUAUAUUUGUAUGAGGAAACUUAAGUAAUGAAAUUAUAAAAUUAUGAA
RNAcentral lists this long non-coding RNA (240 nucleotides) under Haliotis rubra (blacklip abalone). Its description in RNAcentral is "uncharacterized LOC124290629, transcript variant X1". Lineage: Eukaryota; Metazoa; Mollusca; Gastropoda; Lepetellida; Haliotidae. The record is from RNAcentral.